This 274-nucleotide ribosomal RNA is filed under the name uncultured bacterium. Its description in RNAcentral is "partial 16S ribosomal RNA". It matches the Rfam family "Bacterial small subunit ribosomal RNA", at positions 523 to 796 of the family's 1533-position model. The record is from RNAcentral.
AUACGGAGGGGGCAAGCGUUGUUCGGAAUUACUGGGCGUAAAGGGUGCGCAGGCGGCGUCGUUAGUCAGGUGUGAAAUCCCCGGGCUCAACCCGGGAACUGCACUUGAUACUGCGAUGCUAGAGUUCGGAAGAGGGUAGUGGAAUUCCCAGUGUAGAGGUGAAAUUCGUAGAUAUUGGGAAGAACACCAGUGGCGAAGGCGGCUACCUGGUCCGAUACUGACGCUGAGGCGCGAAAGCGUGGGGAGCAAACAGGAUUAGAAACCCCGGUAGUCC